AUACGGAGGGUGCAAGCGUUACUCGGAAUCACUGGGCGUAAAGCGCGCGCAGGCGGCUAUUUAAGUUGGAUGUGAAAGCCUACGGCUCAACCGUAGAACUGCAUCCAAAACUAUUUAGCUAGAGUGUGCGAGAGGAAGAUGGAAUUAGUUGUGUAGGGGUAAAUCCGUAGAGAUAACUAGGAAUACCAAAAGCGAAGGCAAUCUUCUGGAACACUACUGACGCUGAGGCGCGAAAGCGUGGGGAGCAAACGGGAUUAGAAACCCUAGUAGUCC
RNAcentral lists this ribosomal RNA (273 nucleotides) under uncultured bacterium. Its description in RNAcentral is "partial 16S ribosomal RNA". It matches the Rfam family "Bacterial small subunit ribosomal RNA", at positions 523 to 796 of the family's 1533-position model. The record is from RNAcentral.